GGCGGGGUAGCUCAGUUGGCCAGAGCAUGCGGCUCAUACCCGCAGUGUCGAGAGUUCGAAUCUCUCCCCCGCUACCA
This 77-nucleotide transfer RNA is filed under the name Candidatus Omnitrophota bacterium. RNAcentral describes it as "Candidatus Omnitrophica bacterium tRNA-Met". It matches the Rfam family "tRNA". From Rfam's summary of the family: Transfer RNA (tRNA) molecules are approximately 80 nucleotides in length. Their secondary structure includes four short double-helical elements and three loops (D, anti-codon, and T loops). Further hydrogen bonds mediate the characteristic L-shaped molecular structure. tRNAs have two regions of fundamental functional importance: the anti-codon, which is responsible for specific mRNA codon recognition, and the 3' end, to which the tRNAs corresponding amino acid is attached (by aminoacyl-tRNA synthetases). tRNAs cope with the degeneracy of the genetic code in two manners: having more than one tRNA (with a specific anti-codon) for a particular amino acid; and 'wobble' base-pairing, i.e. permitting non-standard base-pairing at the 3rd anti-codon position. Lineage: Bacteria; Pseudomonadati; Candidatus Omnitrophota. The record is from RNAcentral.